This 318-nucleotide ribosomal RNA is filed under the name Goniomonas pacifica. Its description in RNAcentral is "partial Bacterial large subunit ribosomal RNA". It matches the Rfam family "Bacterial large subunit ribosomal RNA", at positions 818 to 1130 of the family's 2925-position model. Lineage: Eukaryota; Cryptophyceae; Goniomonadida; Goniomonadaceae. The record is from RNAcentral.
GGGGUGAAAGGCCAAUCAAACUUGGAGAUAGCUCGUACUCCCCGAAAUAUAUUUAGGUAUAGCGUCUGGUUUUGUCUGUCCGGAGGUAGAGCACUGAUUAGGCUAGGGCCCUUCACCGGGUACCAACCCUAGACAAACUCCGAAUGCCGGCACAGAGCCACCAGGCAGUCAGUGGCAGGGUGAUAACGUCCUGUCGCGAGAGGGAAACAACCCAGACCACCAGCUAAGGCCCCUAAAUAACAGCUAAGUUGAUCAAAGAAAGUUGAGUUGCUCAGACAACUAGGAGGUUGGCUUAGAAGCAGCCAUUCCUUUAAAGAG